AACGCACAUUGCGCCCGCCAGUACUCUGGCGGGCAUGCCUGUUCGAGCGUCAUUUCAACCCUCAGGCCCCCCCCAGGGCGGGCCUGGUGUUGGGGAUCGGCGGCUGGGCGGGAAGGUUCUCUCUCCUCCUCCUCUGGGGGGCUGGGGGGAAAGCCGCCCGCCCGCACCCGCCGCCCCCGAAAUGAAUUGGCGGUCUCGCCGCGGCCUCCUCUGCGUAGUAGCACACCUCGCAGCAGGGAGCGCGGCGCGGCCACUGCCGUAAAACGCACCAAAACUCUCCAGAGUUGACCUCGAAUCAGGUAGGACUACCCGCUGAACUUAA
RNAcentral lists this unclassified non-coding RNA (322 nucleotides) under uncultured fungus. Its description in RNAcentral is "partial contains 5.8S ribosomal RNA, internal transcribed spacer 2, and large subunit ribosomal RNA". The stretch from base 1 to 52 matches the Rfam family "5.8S ribosomal RNA", at positions 103 to 154 of the family's 154-position model. The record is from RNAcentral. Lineage: Eukaryota; Fungi.